CGUCAAGUCAUCAUGGCCCUUACGCCUAGGGCUACACACGUACUACAAUGGCGCGCACAAAGGGCAGCGAUACCGCGAGGUGGAGCCAAUCCCAAAAAACGCGUCCCAGUUCGGACUGCAGUCUGCAACUCGACUGCACGAAGUCGGAAUCGCUAGUAAUCCCGGAUCAGCAUGCCGGGGUGAAUGCGUUCCCGGGCCUU
RNAcentral lists this ribosomal RNA (200 nucleotides) under uncultured prokaryote. Its description in RNAcentral is "partial 16S ribosomal RNA". It matches the Rfam family "Bacterial small subunit ribosomal RNA", at positions 1183 to 1382 of the family's 1533-position model. The record is from RNAcentral.